AUUAGAUACCCGCGUAGUCCUAGCCGUAAACGAUACUCGCUAGGUGUCGGCCACGGUGCGACCGUUGUCGGUGCCGUAGGGAAGCCGUGAAGCGAGCCACCUGGGAAGUACGGCCGCAAGGCUGAAACUUAAAGGAAUUGGCGGGGGAGCACCACAACGGGUGGAGCUUGCGGUUUAAUUGGAUUCAACGCCGGAAAUCUUACCGGGACCGACAGCGAUAUGAAGGCCAGGCUGAAGACUUUGCCGGAUUAGCUGAGAGGUGGUGCAUGGC
This 271-nucleotide ribosomal RNA is filed under the name uncultured archaeon. Its description in RNAcentral is "partial 16S ribosomal RNA". It matches the Rfam family "Archaeal small subunit ribosomal RNA", at positions 728 to 998 of the family's 1478-position model. The record is from RNAcentral.